UCUGCAGAAAGCAAAGGGGAAGUGUCAUUCACUACACUGUUUAAAGCUAUCACACCUUCUUGAUCAAUAAAAUAACUUCAGUGCCAGGAUCUGGAUUAAUUUAGAAGAUUUAGAUAUCUAGGCCCUACUAUCUUGGCAAAGUAACUGACAGCACAAGCUUCAUCAGCUGCUCUGGAUAACAACAUGGAGAGAGAAAAAUUCCAGUCAUGCCUGAAUUCUCACUUUUAAGUGCAUAGAAACCUACUGCAUUUUGGUCUUAAAAAAGAAUGCCAUGUUGAAAUGGAAAUAAUUCUAAGAUGCAAAAGGAACUUUGUUUUAAUACUGGAACAUGGUAUUUCAAAGAUUAAAAAAAAAAAAAAAAUUAAAACCCACUUUUGAAGUGGAUCAAAUGAGUGGCAUUGAAUGGGUUCCCAAAGCAGAGUUGUGUAUGGGGAGCUCUGUAGCCACUUUGUUUCUUUGACAGGGACUGAACAAUGCAGCUUUGCUAUUUUGACAGUUUUAUUGCAGAGAAUAAUGAAAACAAGAAAGCUGUGGCAGGGUAAGCAUUAGAAACUUCAGUUUCCUAAGUGAUUUCCAGAGCACAGCGAGGACUUGCACUUGUUCACACAUCUAACUUCAACUUCAGACCAAGAUUAUGGUGCACAAAUCUAGGAAGUUAAGUGUCAAGAAAGGCAGGUAAGCUUAUUAAAUCUUGCUUUUAGUUAUUUGUUGCUUUCCAUAUAUUUAAGAGAUUCUUAAGAAAUUAAAUGUCUUGGUCAUUCAAGGAAUGUGUGUGCAUGACAGAUUAGAGAAGGCUGUUACUAAGUAUGAGCUUUUCACUAUGCUGAAUAUAUAAUACAUAACCAAGACUAUCCACCUUAGGCUACACUGAUUUUGCUAUUACCAAAAUAAUUGAUAAGCUGUCACAAUCUGGACUUUUUUAAGCUAUUUAACUUGCUACCCAGAUUCGUGGUGAGAAAUCUAGACACAGGGUUAUACAUUGUGCAAUCAACUUGAAGGAAAUUGGGAAAGCCACCCAGCUCUUUUCUCCUUGAUAAAAGGCAUGUUUUUAUUCACAGGUCAGUAAUGAUCUCAUUCAAAUGUUAACUCUUCAAAUACACAGCCUAUUCCCUCAAUGAAAUGGCAGAACCAAGGAAGAAAAGAGCAUGUGCUUUCCUGUGCUCAAGCUGAAGAAUGUGAGAUGCUGUCUGCAGGAUGCUCAGUGGGAGCCAGAAGGAUGUGAAUCAGUAGCAGACACUUGAGAAAGUGCAUUGGAAAACAAACACCAGGGAAGACAAUAAGAAGGUAAGUACUUAAACAAUGUUUUGCUAAACAAGGAAGGCAAUCUGGAUACAUGGGGAUUACACCUUUGGCUCCUUCAUGAAGCAUUCAAUCAGUUGCAGCAAUUGUAGCUGCCAAGCCCAUUAAAUUUGCCUGCAGAAGUAGGGCUAAGGGCCUUGCUCUGCUAGACCAUGCUGCUUUAGUUAGGGUACAGGCAGCAGGAAAACCAGGAAGCAAGGAAAGAGGAAAAAGCUUCAGAUUUCUGGUCAAAAGCCAGAUGCUACAGAAGAGCUCUGUUUAGUUUACUGAAUUGUAAAUAUUAGAGCUACAAUUAAAAAAAAGGGCAGAACUGAAAGAUAUUUUUUCAAAUAUACAGUAGGCAAAUACACCCAAUUCCUGUUCAUCUGGUCUGCAGAGAUAAAGAGAGAUUGCAGCAGUGGGGAAAGAGCAACUGCAGAAAGCCCAGGAGAGAAAAUAAGGUUUUAGAUCAAUGAGCAUUUCAGAUGCUUGUCAGAAAAAAGUGCCAUAUUGAUACUGUCCUGGCUGUUGUUUUUCCCUGAAUUUCAAAGCUUCUAUUGCUGUAGUCAUGGUUGCUGGGAUGAGGAGGUAGGGAGUGGGGAAGAGGAAAUCCUACUUGUGAUAGAUGUGUUUUAACUGAUAGGAAAUGGCACAGAUGAGGUUGCAGUGUCACAGCUGAUGCAGUGAAUUUCUGUUUGGAGAUCAGGGUAAGCUUGAGUAGCAAGGGAGUUCUUGCAUUAUGGUUUUUGUCCCUGCACUCAGGGCUCUGCCCACACAGAUUAAAUGUGAGAUUUCAGUGGCUGGGACCACAAUGCAGUCUGCAUAGGAUUGAGAGAAAUCCUGGUGAUAGAAGCAGAGUAGAGUUUUGAAGGCAAACUGACCAUAGAGGGACUGGUAAGGCACACAGGAUGAGAAAAGUUGAUGGGGUAAACAACAAAGGGCACUAGGCCUGGGCUGAGGGCCUGGGGGAAGUAGGCAAUGAAUAGAAAUAUACACAAAAAAGGCAGCAGGAAAAACCACCAGAGAUACGAGUCAAGGUCAAAAACAGCAAAAAUGGGUGAAAAAAAAAAAAAGCAGAGGGAAGAAUUCAGAACUGAGGCUGAGGAGAAGGAGAAGGAGGACAAUGUGAUACUCUGCUGUGAUAGGAUCAGUUAGGGAAGGAGGAAAAAUCUGCAGGGCUCAUUGCUGCCUAGUGGAUUCUACUUACGAGGAAGCAUCUUAAGUGGACCGGAGGAGUUCCCCAGUUCUGCACUUAGAGCUGUGCUGUUAUUUCCCAAGGAAGCAGGCUGUCAGCUGCUGUGUGCACUACUUGUCAUACCCACCGACAGCAUGAAAGGCUCUGCUUUUACUGGGAUGUGAAGCAACAACAAGGUGAACAAGAGCUUCAAGCACAAUGAUUCUCUUUGGCUGCCUUCAGAUGAGUAAUUCCCAAAGGUUAAGUUAGAAAUUGAAAGUUAGUAAGGUCUCACUUUUUAACCCUUUUGCUUUGCCUACAGGGAGGCCAGGCUCACCUCUCUACACAUGCUGUGAUACAUGCAACUCCAGCGUGGCUGCCAAAUACUAUUUUUUCAAAAGUGAUAAGCAAGAACCCAGAAGGCCUAAUGCUUUAUUUGGAUGCUAACAAUAUAAAGGUGGUUUCCUUGCAGCGUUCAGCAACUGGAUUUUGUCAGGGUUCUGUUCCCAGAGAACAAAAUCUGAAAGUGUUCUGUAAGUCAAAAGUGCUAAAUACUAUAAAAUUGAAACAAUACUGCUCUGUGGCAGUCAUUAGUGAGUAAGUGAUGUACCCAUGCAUGUUGGGGGAAGAACACUGAAAUAAUUCUUAAGAGAAAGAAAACUAGGCAAGCAAACAGGGAGAAGACAGAAACAGGGAGAGCACAAAACAGGGAAAGCAAAGAUACGAGAGAAGUGAAGACACAGCAAAGGGGAGGAAAUAGAAAUUAACAGAUUGAACAUACUGCCUGGAAUUGAAUGUUGGUGCCUCAGUCUUUUAACUACUAUUACUACUAAUUAAUUAUGUGCUGUAUUUUCCAGUAGUAUCUCUCAGGACUUCCCAAGCACGGCAAAAUACUCUGUCUUACAAGGAGAAGGAGGGACAAAACCAUGCAGCAAGACAUGCUGGCAGCAAGACCACAGAUGUCCAUCAGCAGUGGGAGUUCCUGUGUUUUCAUUCCCAAGAAAUAUCAACUUUCCAUAAAAAAUAUAGGUAACUCAGAAAACAACAUGGAAGAAGCCACAUCUGUCUGUCUCUGGUUACCUGAUGUAGGUCUUUAGCAAGAGAAUAAGUAAAAUGCAAGGAUGCACUGGAGAGUCUCUGCGUUAGCCAGUGCUGCAGUCUUUGUUUACCUGUGCAGUACAAGAGCUGUACAAUGUUUACAGAACACUCUGUACAUUUUCUAAAAGUAAUGUAAGCACAACGGUUCAUCAGCCCUGCCUUCCUUUCAGUGCUGAUGAUCUGAAAUGAAUCGGUGAGAACUUACACACCACAGCCUUGGUAAAACAGCCCCACUGGUUGCAGCAGUAUUACUCAACCUAGAAGUAAUAACUGCUUUCCCAAGCUCCAGGGUGAGUUGCACAAUAUUCUUGCACCCUCGUUUUCAUACUGAGGAAUGCUAGAUGUCUGUGAAUGAUAUCUGCAGCGUACCCAGCAGAUAUCUGCCUCUAAGAACCACCAAGGUUGGAAAUAAUUUCUUCUCACACACACUUAACUUGUUUACUUCUUUUUCUACUUCUUAUCUCUGCCCUGCAAGAUAUUCCUCAUCAUGCUGUCCCUUUUCUUUUUAUCCCUAGGUGUGACUUCAGGCAGUUUCAGCAGUGCAGUGAGGGCUGCACUAGGCCACUUUGCUUUACAUACAUGUUAGAAUAAUUAUUCUAGGUAUUCAAAACAUCUGACUUACCCAAAGUUGGUUCCAGCUUCAAAAAGUAAAAGGAGAAAUAAAGGGGGGAAAAAAGCCCCCAAUAGUUAAACUUGCUGCCUAAUGGGCUUCUCUCUGUUGUUUUUCUACAAUGACAUAACAUGAAGAAAAAACUAACAGAAGCUUUCUUUGUCCUCCUUCCAGAAAAAACACUGUGCACCCAAAUAAAGGGAUGGGGUGCACUGUAAGUGGGAUUAGAUAUAUCAUGACAGAUAGCUGGGUUGCAUCAGCCUGAUGAAAAAUGAACUAAAACUUCUUUGCCUUGAGAAGGUCUCUGAAAGACAGGUGCCUUUCCUUCCUUGGGGCACUCUGUCAGCAGGAAAAAGGAAGGUCGGAAAGGAGAACUGCUUUCAUCCCAUUUUCUUAUACCCCUGUGCUGAUAAAACUUCUGACUAGUUCCAUUCUUGUGUAGCUUGGAGCUGACUACCCAGUCACAUGGGGCUUUAAAAUCACAUUAAAAACACAAAGGAAAAUCUCCCUGCAGAGCUAAAUCACCCUGGCAGCCCUGCGGUUCCCAGUGCCCAGUGUUUGGAGAUGGACUGACAAAGCUGGGACCAUACCAUGGAAGGGGGUUCCCAAGACACAUAAUCUCCCUCUCAUCCUUUACCAGACAUUUUUUAAGGGCAAAUAAGGCUCUGCCCAGGUCUGAGAGGCAGCAUGUAAAUUUUCCCCAGAAGGAAGGCUUACUAAGAUAGAUGUCUGAAAAAUUAAAGAUAACAUAAUUUAUAUUGAUAAACUAUUUAUGUGUGUUAUGGUUUUAAUUCCUGGGAAACUGCAACACUGAAAUAAAAUUUAUAUCACAGUCUAUGACAAAGAAUACAACUACCACAAAAGAAAAAAAAAAACAAAUCAGGCUUAUCUUUGCUAUCUAAUCUCAAAUAAUAGAGAUACUUCAAACAAGAAAUGGUAUAGAAUAUAAAUAGAAUAUAAAUAUCUAAUAAGUGUAUAAUAUAUGUUUAUAAUAUGUAUUUAGAAUUUUUAAAAAAUUACGGUAUUUAUUGAAGACUGUGAUGCAAGGUGUACAGAUGGAAACAAAAAAUGUCACUCCCCAGGUUGCACUUAUUUUGUGGCAGAGCACAAGCUGUGCAAACAAAUCUAUGAUUUCAUAUGAUUAUUCACAGGAACUGAAAUGCAUACUGAAGCAAAAUCUUUGCUGGGAGAAUUUGCCAUUUACUGCUCAAUCUAUUCUCACUGACACUUAUGUUACAGGUAGAGGCAGCCAUGGGCUGGGAUAUGGUCACAUAUAUGUUUUAUAUCUCCUAUGUUACUGCCCAUAUAUUUCAGCUAACUUGAGCAACGCAUUUAUGGUUAUUUUACCUGAAGGCUGGCACAAAUGGAAGAAAUCAUCUUACAAAAUAGCACAGAGGAUAGAAAAGUGAGAUCAAGUCCUUUCAAAUUCGCCAAAAUAAAGUCAACAUAAUUACC
Molecule: non-coding RNA, 5615 nt
Organism: Cyanistes caeruleus (blue tit)
Lineage: Eukaryota; Metazoa; Chordata; Aves; Passeriformes; Paridae
Source: RefSeq, a predicted model, not a curated record